UAGGGAAUCUUCGGCAAUGGGGGGAACCCUGACCGAGCAACGCCGCGUGAGUGAAGAAGGUUUUCGGAUCGUAAAGCUCUGUUGUUAAGGAAGAACGAGUGUGAGAAUGGAAAGUUCAUGCUGUGACGGUACUUAACCAGAAAGGGACGGCUAACUACGUGCCAGCAGCCGCGGUAAUACGUAGGUCCCGAGCGUUGUCCGGAUUUAUUGGGCGUAAAGCGAGCGCAGGCGGUUAGAAAAGUCUGAAGUGAAAGGCAGUGGCUCAACCAUUGUAGGCUUUGGAAACUGUUUAACUUGAGUGCAGGAGGGGGGGGUGGAAUUCCAUGUGUAGCGGUGAAAUGCGUAGAUAUAUGGAGGAACACCGGUGGCGAAAGCGGCUCUCUGGUCUGUAACUGACGCUGAGGCUCGAAAGCGUGGGGAGCGAACAGG
Molecule: ribosomal RNA, 429 nt
Filed under: Bacteroidota bacterium
Lineage: Bacteria; Pseudomonadati; Bacteroidota
Description: Bacteroidetes bacterium partial 16S ribosomal RNA
Rfam family: Bacterial small subunit ribosomal RNA
Source: RNAcentral